Molecule: long non-coding RNA, 465 nt
Organism: Rhagoletis zephyria (snowberry fruit fly)
Lineage: Eukaryota; Metazoa; Arthropoda; Insecta; Diptera; Tephritidae
Source: RefSeq, a predicted model, not a curated record
AAUAUUUAAUAGAAAACUAUUUCACUUAAGCUUAACCAACUUUUAGUUGCUCGGAGCUAGUUUUGGAACGCAUCAUGAAAUAUUUUCAUAGACGGAAAAUUCAACCCUGGGUGCAUCAUUAAUGAGCUGAAAACCCAAAACAAAUAAUUAAAUUUGUGGAUUGGAGCCUUUUGAAAUGGCUUUUAGAAACGGCAAUGAAUUUCGACAUUAUUCAAGGAAUUGUGCUGCUUUCCAUUUGGUGUAUUUGCGGUUUAUACCUUCAGAAAGUUACAAAAAAAACAUUUUCUAUUUUUAUUUAUUAUAUAUUUUUGAAAUAAAAAUACUCCACCUUGUACAGCAAAAAAUUUCUUUAAACUAUCUUGCGCAGGAGUUUGUUGAUCUUAUCUUCACGUUUACCGAAACCACCAACCUCAACGUAGUGAUUCUCCUUCUUGCGUCAGCCACUGGUUGAUCUUAUCCUCAGGA